Long non-coding RNA from Equus caballus (horse), 619 nucleotides. RefSeq lists it as uncharacterized. The record is from RefSeq and is a predicted model, not a curated record. NCBI's taxonomy places the organism in Eukaryota, Metazoa, Chordata, Mammalia, Perissodactyla, Equidae.
GCCCCAACAGCCAAGCAAGCAAAGGACACGCCUAGCGGACACACGGAACCUGGCUGCACUCAGGCAAGCACUCGCCCGACAAGCAUGCUGAGGUUGGCCCCUGCCGUCAGACUGCUGCAAGCCCCCCUGAGGGGCUGGGUGGCUCCCAGGGCACACAUCUCUGCCAAGCCAGCCAGAACACCCACUUCUCCUGCAGAGCAGGCCAUCGGGCUCUCUGUGAUGUUCCUCAGCUUCCUGAUCCCUGCAGGCUGGGUCUUAUACCACCUGGAGAAUUACAAGCGCAGCUCUGCAGAAUGAAGGCUCCAGCACAGGAUAAAGGAUCAUAUUAAACCAUUCCCUCUUCCUAACAUCCACAUGGUGAUGGCUUCUUGUGUAUGUGAACCUAUUUGUAUCUUCAGCCUAUCUACUACCUGGAGUAAAAUGUUCCUUAUCUCCUGCCUGUUAUGGGAAGCAGCACCACCUUACUGGUUGCAGAGUCAUCACGUUUAACCCCUCCUAGACGAAUCAACCUAUUUUCUGUUCCCAUACAGCAAUUUCCUUAUUCUCUUGAUCACAUUAUUUGCUUUUUCCAAUAUAUUUUUCUUGAGAUGAAGCAAUUAAAACUGCAUUAACAUUUUUA